CCCUUAGAUGUUCUGGGCCGCACGCGUGCUACACUGAUGCAUUCAACGAGUCUAAAACCUGGUCUGAUAGGGGUGGGUAAUCUUUUGAAUGUGCAUCGUGAUUGGGAUAGAUGAUUGCAAUUUUUCAUCUUCAACGAGGAAUGCCUAGUAAACGCAAGUCAUCAGCUUGCAUUGAUUACGUCCCUGCCCUUUGUACACACCGCCCGUCGCUCCUACCGAUUGAAUGAUCCGAUGAAUAUCAUGGAUUGAGGAUUAUAGCAGGUUCGCCUGUCUUGAUCUUCGAGAAGUGAAGUAAAUCUUAUCAUUUAGAGGAAGGAGAAGUCGUAACA
RNAcentral lists this ribosomal RNA (329 nucleotides) under uncultured eukaryote. RNAcentral describes it as "partial 18S ribosomal RNA". It matches the Rfam family "Eukaryotic small subunit ribosomal RNA", at positions 1470 to 1796 of the family's 1831-position model. The record is from RNAcentral.